RNAcentral lists this ribosomal RNA (520 nucleotides) under Myrmecophilus gallicus. Its description in RNAcentral is "partial large subunit ribosomal RNA". It matches the Rfam family "Bacterial large subunit ribosomal RNA", at positions 1783 to 2585 of the family's 2925-position model. The record is from RNAcentral. Lineage: Eukaryota; Metazoa; Arthropoda; Insecta; Orthoptera; Myrmecophilidae.
UAAAACGACCGCCUGUUUAUCAAAAACAUGGUAUUUUGAUUUUAUUUAAUAUCAUACCUGCCCACUGAUUACUUGAAGGGCCGCGGUAUAUUGACCGUGCAAAGGUAGCAUAAUCAUUAGGUUUUUAAUUGGAAUCUGGAAUGAAAGGUUUUACGGGAUAUUAACUGUCUUAAUUUAAUAUAUUGAAUUUAACUUUUUAGUUAAAAGGCUUAAAUGGGAAUAAAGGACGAGAAGACCCUAUAGAUCUUUAUAAUUAUUUUUUAUUAGUUAUUUAGGUAAAUUUGAUUAAUAUAGUUGUUAAUUAUUUUACUGGGGCGGUGUAUAGAAAAUUUUAACUCUUUAUUUGAUAAAUAUAGAUUAUUAGCUUAAUGAAUCAUAAUUAAUGAUUUAAGAUAAAGUUACCUUAGGGAUAACAGCGUUAUUUAUUUGGAGAGUUCAUAUUGAUAAAUAAGUUUGCGACCUCGAUGUUGAAUUAAGAGUUCAAUUGGAUGUAGAAGUUCUUUAGGAAAGUCUGUUCGAC